CUACGGGGGGCUGCAGUGGGGAAUAUUGCGCAAUGGGCGAAAGCUUGACGCAGCAACGCCGCGUGAGGGAUGAAGGCUUUCGGGUCGUAAACCUCUGUCGGAAGGGAAGAACGGGCAUUGGUCUAAUAGGCCUUUGUUUUGACGGUACCUUUAGAGGAAGCACCGGCUAACUCCGUGCCAGCAGCCGCGGUAAUACGGAGGGUGCAAGCGUUAUUCGGAAUUACUGGGCGUAAAGCGCACGUAGGCGGCCUUGUAAGUCCGGGGUGAAAUCCCACGGCUCAACCGGGGAACUGCCUUUGAAACUGCAGGGCUUGAAUCCUGGAGAGGGUGGCGGAAUUCCUGGUGUAGGAGUGAAAUCCGUAGAUAUCAGGAGGAACACCGGUGGUGAAGGCGGCCACCUGGACAGGUAUUGACGCUGAGGUGCGAAAGUGUGGGGAGCAAACAGGAUUAGAUACCCCUGUAGUC
RNAcentral lists this ribosomal RNA (465 nucleotides) under uncultured bacterium. RNAcentral describes it as "partial 16S ribosomal RNA". It matches the Rfam family "Bacterial small subunit ribosomal RNA", at positions 339 to 795 of the family's 1533-position model. The record is from RNAcentral.